Molecule: ribosomal RNA, 216 nt
Filed under: uncultured bacterium
Lineage: Bacteria
Description: partial 16S ribosomal RNA
Rfam family: Bacterial small subunit ribosomal RNA
Source: RNAcentral
UGGGAACGUACCCUUUGGUUCGGAACAACCCAGGGAAACUUGGGCUAAUACCGGAUAAGUCCGUAAGGAGAAAGAUUUAUCGCCAAAGGAUCGGCCCGCGUCUGAUUAGCUAGUUGGUAGGGUAAUGGCCUACCAAGGCUACGAUCAGUAGCUGGUCUGAGAGGAUGAUCAGCCACAUUGGGACUGAGACACGGUCCAGACUCCUACGGGAGGCAG